AUUGAACGCUGGCGGCAGGCCUAACACAUGCAAGUCGAGCGGAGCGGCGGACGGGUGAGUAAUGCCUAGGAAUCUGCCUGGUAGUGGGGGAUAACGUCCGGCAACGGGCGCUAAUACCGCAUACUAUCAGAUGAGCCUAGGUCGGAUUAGCUAGUUGGUGGGGUAAAGGCCUACCAAGGCGACGAUCCGUAACUGGUCUGAGAGGAUGAGCAGUCAAACGGGAACGGAGACACGGUCCAGACUCCUACGGGAGGAAGCAGUGGGGAAUAUUGGACAAUGGGCGAAAGCCUGAUACAGCCAUGCCGCGUGGGUGAAGAGGGUCUUCCGAUUGUAAAGCACUUUAAGUUGGGAGGCGUUACCAACAGAAUAAGCACCGGCUAACUUCGUACCAGCAGCCGCGGUAAUAC
This 407-nucleotide ribosomal RNA is filed under the name uncultured bacterium. Its description in RNAcentral is "partial 16S ribosomal RNA". It matches the Rfam family "Bacterial small subunit ribosomal RNA", at positions 30 to 526 of the family's 1533-position model. The record is from RNAcentral.